GGGUUGUGAGGUUAAGUGACUAAGCGUACACGGUGGAUGCCUAGGCAGUCAGAGGCGAUGAAGGGCGUGCUAAUCUGCGAAAAGCGUCGGUAAGGUGAUAUGAACCGUUAUAACCGGCGAUACCCGAAUGGGGAAACCCAGUGUGUUUCGACACACUAUCAUGUCAUGAAUACAUAGUGGCAUGAGGCGAACCGGGGGAACUGAAACAUCUAAGUACCCCGAGGAAAAGAAAUCAACCGAGAUUCCCCCAGUAGCGGCGAGCGAACGGGGAGGAGCCCAGAACCUGAAUCGGCUUGUGUGUUAGUGGAAGCGUCUGGAAAGUCGCGCAGUAAAGGGUGAUAGCCCCGUACACUAAAAUGCACAGGUCGUGAGUUCGAUGAGUAGGGCGGGACACGUGACAUCCUGUCUGAAUAUGGGGGGACCAUCCUCCAAGGCUAAAUACUCCUGACUGACCGAUAGUGAACCAGUACCGUGAGGGAAAGGCGAAAAGAACCCCGGCGAGGGGAGUGAAAUAGAACCUGAAACCGUGUACGUACAAGCAGUGGGAGCACCUUCGUGGUGUGACUGCGUACCUUUUGUAUAAUGGGUCAGCGACUUAUAUUUUGUAGCAAGGUUAACCGUAUAGGGGAGCCGUAGGGAAACCGAGUCUUAACUGGGCGA
This 660-nucleotide ribosomal RNA is filed under the name Serratia marcescens. RNAcentral's name for it is "bacterial LSU rRNA". It matches the Rfam family "Bacterial large subunit ribosomal RNA", at positions 1 to 695 of the family's 2925-position model. The record is from RNAcentral. Lineage: Bacteria; Pseudomonadati; Pseudomonadota; Gammaproteobacteria; Enterobacterales; Yersiniaceae.